CGAUGUAGUCCUGAUGGCACAGCCAUAGAGAUCCUCUCUCCUGGGUGGGUUGGAUACCAAAGGACUGGGUAUAUCCCAAUGCUGGCAUAUCACCCAUCUGAAUUCAAGGGCAGGGGAAGCCAGCGGGUCAGAAAGGGAUGGCCAUAAAAAGAGUAAGGUGGCAUAUCUGUCAAAUGGUUCAAAGAAUACAGAAGAGGAACGCUAAGAGGAGGGGAAGAUGAUGAAAGAAGGAGUUAAAAGGAAUCGUUCACAAAAUUAUUCAUUCAUGAAAAAGGGAAGACAGGUUAGUCCUUGAAAGGAAAGCACGUCCAGCCCCAUCUCUAACAAGUUCCCGUUUGCCUCAGAUCCUUUUUCUUUUUAGGCAGUGUUUAGCAAACUUAGUGGGCAUACAAAUCACUUAGGGAUCUCGUUAAAACGCAGACUGAGACUCAGUAGGUCUGGAACUAAAGAGUCUGAAUUUCUAAUAAGCUCCAGGUGAUGGGGAUGCUGUUCGUCCUCAACUUUGGCUACACAUUAGAACCACCUGUGGAGCUUUAAAAACAACACCAGUGCUCAGGCCUCAUACCAACCAAUGACCGAAUCUUGGAGAUGGUGCCUGGGCAUCGGUGUUUUUAAAAGCUCCCCAGAUUAUUCUAGCCCCAGAUAGGGCUGAGAGCCACCACCCCAGGGAAAUACAGUGCUUCCUAGGUCUCAUUGCCUCUAGUGUGAAUGCUUCCCAACCUCCCUUCUCUCUCCCUGCCAUUGCUUUCUUUGCUCGUUCUCCCAGAAACCCAUCUUCUCCCCUGCAAGAUUUACUUCUCUUCCUCUGUUCUCAAGCCAUCACGUUGGAGACAGGCUGGGAGCCAAGACAGCCUCAGUCCCUUAUUGCCUCCCUCACCCAGCCCCACCCAACUUCAAUGAGUUAAACUGAGGGCCCCCCUACCUGUCAGGAUGACCGGGGAUGGGUGCCCAGUGCUGACCCCAGCUCCCAAUUUGCUCUUGCGCCUUAGCUCACUCUCCCAUCUGCUUCCUGAUGGGGCAUAAUGAGCUGCCCCAGAAUUAGCCAUGUUGACAUUCAUGGUUCAAAAUGUAUGCACCCCUACCCUGGCAAGACCUGGAGGCUGGAGUCCAACCAAGCCUUGUUGUAAACCAGGAUUGACCGCCUUCAACAUCAUCCCUCUGGGAAGCCAGCUUCUUUAAUGAAGAGACAGCUCUACGCUGGCACAAACUCUUACAAAGAAUAGAGAAAGGGGAGAUUUUUCCAACUCAUUUUGUGAGGCCAGAAUAACUUUGCAAUAUCCUUUUCAGGUUUUUGUAUCAAAAAAGGAAAACCACUGCUCCAUCUCAUUUAUAAACAGUAACACAAAUAUUCUUUUUUUUCUUAAGGUUUUCUUUUUCCUUUUUCUCCCCAAAGCGCCCCAGUACAAAAUUGUGUAAUUUUUUUAGUUGUGGGUCCUUCCAGUUGUAACACAAAUAUUCUAAAUGAAAUAUUAGGAAAUCAAAACCAGCAAUAUAUGUAAAAAAAAAAAAAAAAGGAAAUAUAUUAAGAACCAAACUGAGUGUAUCCUAGGGAUGAGUCAAUGUAACUCCAUGCAUUAAAAGAAUAAAAGAAAAAAAUUUUAUGAUCAUCUCAAAAAAUGUAGAAAAGGCAUUUGAUAAAAGUUCAAUAGUCAUUCAUGCUAAAAACAAUUUUAUCCGCUCAUAAGGAUCUUGCCAUCUGCCUCUGGAUCCAACCUCUAAGUCAAUCUGUCCAACAAGAAUCAAACGAUUUUAAUUUGUGUGUAAAAUAUCAUGGACUAGUAGUCCCACAAUAGUCCCAAUAACAAAAAGGUAACUGUCCUCACGUUUAGAGAGGGAGGAG
RNAcentral lists this long non-coding RNA (1840 nucleotides) under Equus asinus (donkey). RNAcentral describes it as "lncRNA (ENSEASG00005029089.1)". The record is from RNAcentral. Lineage: Eukaryota; Metazoa; Chordata; Mammalia; Perissodactyla; Equidae.